This 279-nucleotide unclassified non-coding RNA is filed under the name plant metagenome. Its description in RNAcentral is "partial contains small subunit ribosomal RNA, internal transcribed spacer 1, and 5.8S ribosomal RNA". The record is from RNAcentral.
UUUCCGUAGGUGAACCUGCGGAAGGAUCAUUACCGAGUGAGGGUCUCUCAGGCCCGACCUCCUACCCUGUGUCUUUGUGACCUUGUUGCUUUGGCGGGCCCGCCUCGAUGAGAUGCCGCCGGAAGCUCACCGCUUUGGGCCCGUGCCCGUCAGUAGCCCCCUUAAAUUCUUAAUAAACCUGUCGUCUGAGUUAAUGGAAAUAAUGAAAAAAACCUUUCAACAACGGAUCCCUUGGUUUUUGUAUCCAUGAAGAACGCAGCUGAUCGGAAGGGCACACGC